AUAAAGCUGAGUUUCCGACCGCCCUGGCCUUUGGGCAUACCCCGAGGCUGUGGCGGCGAGGGAGAGAGUUUCGCGGGCAAGAGUGCCCGCGCCACACUCCCGAAGGUGCUGGUGGAAACGCCGGCGCCUCCCGCGCUCCGAAAGGAGCGCAUUGGAAAGGAAA
Molecule: non-coding RNA, 163 nt
Filed under: Candidatus Sulfotelmatobacter kueseliae
Lineage: Bacteria; Pseudomonadati; Acidobacteriota; Terriglobia; Terriglobales; Candidatus Korobacteraceae
Description: MOCO_RNA_motif
Rfam family: Molybdenum/Tungsten riboswitch aptamer (Moco RNA motif)
Source: RNAcentral